Molecule: transfer RNA, 84 nt
Filed under: Elusimicrobiota bacterium
Lineage: Bacteria; Pseudomonadati; Elusimicrobiota
Description: Elusimicrobia bacterium tRNA-Leu
Rfam family: tRNA
About the family: Transfer RNA (tRNA) molecules are approximately 80 nucleotides in length. Their secondary structure includes four short double-helical elements and three loops (D, anti-codon, and T loops).
Source: RNAcentral
GGGCAGGUGGCGGAACUGGCAGACGCAGGGGACUUAAAAUCCCCCGGCCGCAAGGCCGUGCGGGUUCGAUUCCCGCCCUGCCCA